The sequence is a small nuclear RNA, 191 nucleotides long. Its record names the gene U2. It matches the Rfam family "U2 spliceosomal RNA". Rfam says of the family: U2 is a small nuclear RNA (snRNA) component of the spliceosome (involved in pre-mRNA splicing). Complementary binding between U2 snRNA (in an area lying towards the 5' end but 3' to hairpin I) and the branchpoint sequence (BPS) of the intron results the bulging out of an unpaired adenosine, on the BPS, which initiates a nucleophilic attack at the intronic 5' splice site, thus starting the first of two transesterification reactions that mediate splicing. The record is from Ensembl.
AUCGCUUCUCGGCCUUUUGGCUAAGAUCAAGUGUAGUAUCUGUUCUUAUCAGUUUAAUAUCUGAUACGUCCCCUACCCGUGGACCAUAUGUUAAAUUGGCUGUUGGACCAGGGAGAUGGAAUAGGGGCUUGCUCCGUCCGCUCCAAGCAUCAACCUGGUAUUGCAGUACUUCCAGGAAUGGUGCACCCCCU